RNAcentral lists this ribosomal RNA (301 nucleotides) under uncultured bacterium. RNAcentral's name for it is "partial 16S ribosomal RNA". It matches the Rfam family "Bacterial small subunit ribosomal RNA", at positions 509 to 807 of the family's 1533-position model. The record is from RNAcentral.
CAGUAGCCGCGGGAAUACGGAGGGUGCAAGCGCUAAUCGGAAUUACUGGGCGUAAAGGGCGCGUAGGCGGUUAGGAAGGUGUGAUGUGAAAGCCCUGGGCUUAACCUAGGAAGUGCAUCGCAAACCAACUAGCUGGAGUAUAAGAGAGGGUGGCGGAAUUUCCGGUGUAGCGGUGGAAUGCGUAGAGAUCGGAAGGAACGUCAAUGGCGAAGGCAGCCACCUGGCUUAAUACUGACGCUGAGGCGCGAAGGCGUGGGGAGCGAACAGGAUUAGAUACCCCUGUAGUCCCUGUCUCUUAUAC